CCUACGGGAGGCAGCAGUAGGGAAUCUUCCACAAUGGACGAAAGUCUGAUGGAGCAACGCCGCGUGAGUGAAGAAGGGUUUCGGCUCGUAAAGGUCUGUUUGUAGUGAAGAAAGAUAGAGGUAGUAACUGGCCUUUAUUUGACGGUAAUUACUUAGAAAGUCACGGCUAACUACGUUCCAGCAGCCGCGGUAAUACGUAGGGGGCCAGCGUUUUCCGGAUUUUUUGGGCGUAAAGCGAGU
This 240-nucleotide ribosomal RNA is filed under the name uncultured bacterium. Its description in RNAcentral is "partial 16S ribosomal RNA". It matches the Rfam family "Bacterial small subunit ribosomal RNA", at positions 338 to 570 of the family's 1533-position model. The record is from RNAcentral.